AUACGUAGGGUGCAAGCGUUAAUCGGAAUUACUGGGCGUAAAGCGUGCGCAGGCGGUUCGGAAAGAAGGAUGUGAAAUCCCAGGGCUCAACCUUGGAACUGCAUUCUUAACUACCGAACUAGAGUAUGUCAGAGGGGGGUAGAAUUCCGCGUGUAGCAGUGAAAUGCGUAGAUAUGCGGAGGGAUACCGAUGGCGAAGGCAGCCCCCUGGGAUAAUACUGACGCUCAUGCACGAAAGCGUGGGUAGCAAACAGGAUUAGAUACCCUGGUAGUCCACGCCCUAAACGAUGUCAACUAGCUGUUGGGCCCUUCGGGGCUUAGUAGCGUAGCUAACGCGUGAAGUUGACCGCCUGGGGAGUACGGUCGCAAGAUUAAAACUCAAAUGAAUUGACGGGG
This 395-nucleotide ribosomal RNA is filed under the name uncultured bacterium. RNAcentral's name for it is "partial 16S ribosomal RNA". It matches the Rfam family "Bacterial small subunit ribosomal RNA", at positions 523 to 918 of the family's 1533-position model. The record is from RNAcentral.